This is a long non-coding RNA of Neolamprologus brichardi, 855 nucleotides long. RefSeq lists it as uncharacterized. The record is from RefSeq and is a predicted model, not a curated record. NCBI's taxonomy places the organism in Eukaryota, Metazoa, Chordata, Actinopteri, Cichliformes, Cichlidae.
AGCAAUUCAAACAAGUGUAGAAGCUCCUACAACUGGAGCAACUAAUACCAAUAAAGCAACUACUACAACUGGAGCAAUUCAAACAAGUGGAGAAACUACUACAACUCGAGCAACUCUUCCCAGUAUAGCAACUACUGCAAAUGCAGCAACUCACACCAUUAUUCUGAUCAUGGGACCUUUACUUUCAACUCUUAUCCUUAAUAAGUGAAUGUGGACACAUUCGCUACCUGAGGACCAGAAGAUACCGCACCAAACCUCAAAAGCAGCCAGUGCAGAUGAGUGUGGCACCACCUAAACACGAACAUCUACCUGCAGGAAACUCUUGAAUUCUAUCUGUUUAUUAAGAUUAUUUACUCAUUCAUUUUUGUUCUUCUUUAAUAUUGAAUGAAAUCGAAUGAAGUCUAUUAUUGUUAAUCAUUUAUUUCACAUUUUAAUUUUUUAUGUAAUGGUUGUUAAAUGGCUGUCCUCUUUCUUUCAUGUUAUACCUUCUCUAAUCAGUUGUUGCUAUUAGAAAUACAGUGUCAUGGUCCCCGCACCUCGCCAACUGACAGCAGUCAGGCGCUAUGUUUUGUUUUGUUUAUUCUCCUCUCUCGUCCUCUCCCACUCUCUCUUUCUCCUGCCAGGGCGGAGCUCAGUAUGGGCUCCCGCCCCUGGCCCACGCGCCUGGGGAUGAUUAGCACACCUGCCGCUGAUUACGAGAAUUAGAGUCCUACUUAAGAUGGCGAUGCACUGUGACUGAGCGUGAGCAAGAGUGGUAGAGGAAAGAAGAGGAGCUGUGUGUGUUUGCGAGAGCUGUAUGGGAAUCUCCCCUCCCUGGACUCCUGCCCCUUUCACUCCCGGACCCUGGAACCCCAG